UUCUCUAAAAUAUCAAAUGGAACAUUAUUUUAUUAGUUCAUAAGUAUAUUUCAAAAUAAAUAUAAUUAUUUAUUUAAAUAUGUUCAUAUGAAAUAGGCUUUUAAACAGGCUAACAGGCCACAUCAAACUUUCAAAAGGUCAGGCUCAGGCCUAGAAUUUAAGCCUAUGAUAGGCCACAGGCCAGGCUCAGACCUUCGAUUUUUUGACAGGCCAGAGUCAGGCUUGGCAAAGCCUAGCUCGGCCUAGCCUAUUCCCACCUCU
RNAcentral lists this long non-coding RNA (261 nucleotides) under Trifolium pratense (red clover). RNAcentral describes it as "long non-coding RNA (TPRA_LNC012236)". Lineage: Eukaryota; Viridiplantae; Streptophyta; Magnoliopsida; Fabales; Fabaceae. The record is from RNAcentral.